AUGGUGAACUUGGCGGCGCAACUCCGGGCCUUGGCGGCUCAAUCAACCGAGCCGACGGCUUUCCUUGAGGAGGCCGAACCAUUAUACCGGCAUGCGGUGGCCUUGCGUCCGCGAGGGCACGUUUUCAAGCAACACAGGUGGCAGCAACACUCGGCGGUGACGCUGCAACCACGCGGGGGCGGCGUGACUCGUGGCGAGGCGCUCAUGUUUCUUCUUCCGGCGCAAGUCCGGGAGUGGCAGCGCAACCUCGACCUCGCCGCUGGGACUGGCGAUGGCGCCGUCGCCAUUGUCACCCUCAACGGUGGCGAAGACGACGGCGACACAACACGACUUGGGUGUCCGGCGCGAUUUCCAGGCGAUGCGACGCGGUUUCCGCAGUUGGUGGCGCAAAUUCUGGCGACAGUUGGAGCAAAGCCAGGCGGCGUGCGUGCGGCUCGAGUCGUGAGCGCGACGGGUGGGCGUGGCACUCGUGCGUCGCUAUGGCGCAGAUCACGCCGGGUCCGCGCGCUGGUUCGCGAAGCUCGCGGCUCGAUCACGGCUGCAUCGCUCCUGGUGGCGUGGCCUCGUGAAGGAAAAGAGGGUAAGUUUUUUGUUCUCUUCCAGUUGGGCUGCCUAGUCUGGUAUGGGUGGUUUCCACGUUGGCCCAUGAAGCAUAGAUGGUUCUUCCUCAUGUUUUGGGCCAUCCGAGUAAAUAGCCUUCUUUGUUGUUGGGCUGGUCAAGUGAGUAGGGCUGUCUAUAACAGUAUUAGUUCUUUUGUUUUCUAUAACAAGCCGAGAUGUAAAAGGCUUGCGAGUCUUCGUUUUGGUUAUGGUAUUUCGUUUGAGUCUAGCAGGGUGUGCUGCAGCUCAAGGACGAGCUGCUUAAAAAAGGGGGAGUAAUGUCAUGGGC
This 889-nucleotide long non-coding RNA is filed under the name Oryza sativa Indica Group (long-grained rice). RNAcentral describes it as "lncRNA OsMH63_04G003860". Lineage: Eukaryota; Viridiplantae; Streptophyta; Magnoliopsida; Poales; Poaceae. The record is from RNAcentral.